GCCUAGCAAGAUGGCGCUGCCCGCGUUGUUGCACCCGUUCUCCAAGCUGCUGGCUCCUGCCAAGGCUCCCAAGCAGCUCUUCAGCGCAAAGUUCUACAUUCGGGAGCACCACAUGACAGACCUGACUGGCUGAAAGUUGGACUGACCUUGGGCACCUCUGUCUUCUUGUGGAUCUCUCUCAUCAAGCAACAUAAUGAAGAUGUUUUAGAGUAUAAAAGAAGCAAUGGGUUGGAAUAAACUAUUGAAAUACUAAUAUGGUAGGCUCCAUAUAGUGAUUAUACUAGUUCCUUUGGAUUCACCAAUCUGUUGAGUUGUAAACGUGAGAGAAAAAGUUAUAUGUGAAUGUAUGUCAAAUCAGCAUUUGUGUUUUGCAUCAUUAAAUGAAAAAAUAA
This is an RNA transcript of Odobenus rosmarus divergens (Pacific walrus), 392 nucleotides long. It is a transcript of the gene named NADH dehydrogenase [ubiquinone] 1 subunit C1, mitochondrial-like, with no coding region annotated. The transcript has a single exon. The record is from RefSeq and is a predicted model, not a curated record. Lineage: Eukaryota; Metazoa; Chordata; Mammalia; Carnivora; Odobenidae.